GGCCCCGUAGCUCAGUAGGUAGAGCCUCGGAUCUCAGAUCCGAGAGACGCAGGUUCGAUUCCUGCCGGUGCCA
Molecule: transfer RNA, 73 nt
Filed under: Monoraphidium minutum
Lineage: Eukaryota; Viridiplantae; Chlorophyta; Chlorophyceae; Sphaeropleales; Selenastraceae
Description: tRNA-Sec
Rfam family: tRNA
About the family: Transfer RNA (tRNA) molecules are approximately 80 nucleotides in length. Their secondary structure includes four short double-helical elements and three loops (D, anti-codon, and T loops).
Source: RNAcentral